AUGGGAACGCGAAGAACCUUACCUACUCUUGACAUCCAGAGAACUUUCCAGAGGUGGAUUGGUGCCUUCGGGAACUCUGAGACAGGUGCUGCAUGGCUGUCGUCAGCUCGUGUUGUGAAAUGUUGGGUUAAGUCCCGCAACGAGCGCAACCCUUAUACUUUGUUGCCAGCGGGUUAGGCCGGGAACUCAAAGGAGACUGCCAGUGAUAAACUGGGAGGAAGGUGGGGAUGACGUCAAGUCAUCAUGGCCCUUACGAGUAGGGCUACACACGUGCUACAAUGGCGCAUACAAAGAGAAGCGACCUCGCGAGAGCAAGCGGACCUCAUAAAGUGCGUCGUAGUCCGGAUUGGAGUCUGCAACUCGACUCCAUGAAGUCGGAAUCGCUAGUAAUCGUAGAUCAGAAUGCUACGGUG
Molecule: ribosomal RNA, 413 nt
Filed under: uncultured bacterium
Lineage: Bacteria
Description: bacterial SSU rRNA
Rfam family: Bacterial small subunit ribosomal RNA
Source: RNAcentral